AUGUUGAACAGUUUUAUCUUGCCUCUCACCAACAUAGUGUCUGAAUCUUCUUCAUGUAAAAACCCUAGCAAUCGUCAUGGUUUUGGCACUUUGCACUCACAGCAGAGCUGCACAUGCCAUAGGGGACUUGCUGCUGCUUGGCUACUUCUCCCUUGUUUAAAGAUUGGAGCUGAUAGCAACCAACCAAUCAGAAGUGAAAAAUUACAUGGGGGCAUCUCAACUCUGUUCCCGGCUCUAUCUUUGGAAAGGCUGCCAGGACAAGAUGCGCUGAACCGACCUGACAACCCACGACCCUAUGGUCAGAACCUACAAAAGUCUCAGAGGGAAGAUCCUGCUGCAGAGAUUUCCCCAUUUGCUCCACCUCACGCACAGGUGGCAGCCGUGUUUCCGCACCGGGUGCAUCUGCCAGUGGUAUCAUUUGCCAUGAAGUUACACUGA
This 438-nucleotide long non-coding RNA is filed under the name Apteryx haastii (Great spotted kiwi). RNAcentral's name for it is "lncRNA (ENSAHAG00000016709.1)". The record is from RNAcentral. Lineage: Eukaryota; Metazoa; Chordata; Aves; Apterygiformes; Apterygidae.